RNAcentral lists this ribosomal RNA (468 nucleotides) under uncultured bacterium. RNAcentral describes it as "partial 16S ribosomal RNA". It matches the Rfam family "Bacterial small subunit ribosomal RNA", at positions 28 to 507 of the family's 1533-position model. The record is from RNAcentral.
GAUGAACGCUGACAGAAUGCUUAACACAUGCAAGUCAACUUGAAUUUGGGUUUUUUCCCUUAGAUUUGGGUGGCGGACGGGUGAGUAACGCGUAAAGAACUUGCCUCACAGCUAGGGACAACAUUUGGAAACGAAUGCUAAUACCUGAUAUUAUGAUUAUAAGGCAUCUUAGAAUUAUGAAAGCUAUAUGCGCUGUGAGAGAGCUUUGCGUCCCAUUAGCUAGUUGGAGAGGUAACGGCUCACCAAGGCGAUGAUGGGUAGCCGGCCUGAGAGGGUGAACGGCCACAAGGGGACUGAGACACGGCCCUUACUCCUACGGGAGGCAGCAGUGGGGAAUAUUGGACAAUGGACCAAGAGUCUGAUCCAGCAAUUCUGUGUGCACGAUGACGUUUUUCGGAAUGUAAAGUGCUUUCAGUUGGGAAGAAAAAAAUGACGGUACCAACAGAAGAAGUGACGGCUAAAUACGUG